Bacillus rossius redtenbacheri is the source of this 779-nucleotide long non-coding RNA. RefSeq lists it as uncharacterized. The transcript is spliced from 3 exons. Lineage: Eukaryota; Metazoa; Arthropoda; Insecta; Phasmatodea; Bacillidae. The record is from RefSeq and is a predicted model, not a curated record.
UUGUGUGGGGAUCAUUAUCAGUUGGGAUUGGACACCAACAAGUAGAAGAAAUGAUGGCAGUAAUGGAAGUCCCUGUAAUGAGUAAACGGAAAUGGACGAGACAUGAACAGCGAGUUGAAAAGGCAUGGGAAGACAAACUGGAAAAAUACAUGCUUGCUAAUGGAGUCCAAGAACGUGAAAUCGCUCUAAAGAAGGGCAACAUAGAUGAAGAUGGAAUCCCUUACAUUACAGUCUAUCAAGAUGGCGGUUGGUGUACAAGAUCAUACGGCCAUGGUUUUACUGCAAAAUCAGGAGUUGCUUGCAUAAUUGGAGCCGAAACUAAUGGUUUGCUGUACGUUGGAAUACGCAACAAGUAUUGUUAUAUAUGUAACAACCAAGAAAAACCAGGCAGCAAAUCCAGGCCACAUAAAUGCUACAAAAAUUAUAAAGGAACUUCAACAGGAAUGGAACAAGAAAUUAUUGUACAAGGUUUUAAAGAAAGCGAAUCGAUGCAUGGGGUACGUUAUUUGUACAUUAUCAGUGACUGUGAUUCAAGUUCGUAUCUGAAGAUUCAGCGAGGUGUUUCAUAUGGUAGACAUGUAGUGAAAUUGGAAUGUGCCAACCAUAUGAUAAGAAACUACACUAGCAAACUACAUGCCAUUACCAAGGAUACCACUCACGUCAUCACUGCAAGGCGUCAAUUGUCCCAGUUAAUUCCUCGAUUGACGAGAGGGGCACGAGCAGCUAUUGCUUCUGCAAAUAAAGAGUGCAAUAGUACUAUGCUGCAAAAAGAUUUGAAG